RNAcentral lists this long non-coding RNA (593 nucleotides) under Daucus carota (carrot). Its description in RNAcentral is "long non-coding RNA (DCAR_LNC007693)". Lineage: Eukaryota; Viridiplantae; Streptophyta; Magnoliopsida; Apiales; Apiaceae. The record is from RNAcentral.
CAAGUUCACAUAAGCCUGGGGCUUUUUCUAAGUCAAAUGAAUAUACAGGAGCUCAUCAACCGUGGCGAAACUUCACUCCUCUUCACUCCUAAGGGGCAAGUUUGGCUUCAUGAAGUUAACGAGGAUUAGUUAAUGAAAAGUCUAUAAAUACUUGAGAUGUGGGUUCAUAAUUUACACACACUCUUCACCACCUUUAUGGUGGAAUGGCUUUGUGCCUUGCACACUACUACACACAAAUAAAUCAUAGCUUAGUUUUGUAAUAUAUAUAUAUAUUUAGAAGCUAGGGUUUGUGAGUGUACGUAGUAGUAGCCAUUGUAGCCAACCUUCGGGUUUGGAUUUAUAGCACUGUUCGGGGUAUUUAUCAAUAUACAGAUAUACUUUAGAAAAUAUUGUGUGUUGGUUUAAUAUUUUCAUAUCCUCAGAAACCGACCCGAUAUAUAUCCAGAACACGAAACCCAUUACAAGACUGCAAUUUAUUUAUCCGCAAGAUUCGAAACAAUUUUAAAUUGUAGUGAGUAUCGUAUUCAACCCCCCCUUCUACGAUACUUUGGACCUAACAAUUGGUAUCAGAGCAGGCUGAUUGAUAUACAAAU